Molecule: ribosomal RNA, 2932 nt
Filed under: Proteus mirabilis
Lineage: Bacteria; Pseudomonadati; Pseudomonadota; Gammaproteobacteria; Enterobacterales; Morganellaceae
Description: 23S ribosomal RNA
Rfam family: Bacterial large subunit ribosomal RNA
Source: RNAcentral
GGGUUGUGAGGUUAAGCGAAUAAGCGUACACGGUGGAUGCCUAGGCAAUCAGAGGCGAUGAAGGACGUGCUAAUCUGCGAAAAGCGUCGGUAAGGUGAUAUGAACCGUUAUACCCGACGAUAUCCGAAUGGGGAAACCCAGUAUCCAAUGGAUACUAUCAUUAACUGAAUCCAUAGGUUAAUGAGGCGAACCGGGAGAACUGAAACAUCUCAGUACCCCGAGGAAAAGAAAUCAACCGAGAUUCCCCUAGUAGCGGCGAGCGAACGGGGAGCAGCCCAGAGUCUUAAUCAAUAGCAGUGUCAGGAGAACGGUCUGGAAAGUCCGGCAGUAAAGGGUGAUAGCCCCGUAUCUGAAGAUGCUGUUAUUGUGAACUCGACGAGUAGGGCGGGACACGUGUUAUCCUGUCUGAAUAUGGGGGGACCAUCCUCCAAGGCUAAAUACUCCUGAUUGACCGAUAGUGAACCAGUACCGUGAGGGAAAGGCGAAAAGAACCCCGGCGAGGGGAGUGAAAAAGAACCUGAAACCGUGUACGUACAAGCAGUAGGAGCCUCUUUAUGGGGUGACUGCGUACCUUUUGUAUAAUGGGUCAGCGACUUAUAUUCUGUAGCAAGGUUAACCGUAUAGGGGAGCCGUAGGGAAACCGAGUCUUAACUGGGCGAAUGAGUUGCAGGGUAUAGACCCGAAACCCGGUGAUCUAUCCAUGGGCAGGUUGAAGGUUGGGUAACACUAACUGGAGGACCGAACCGACUAAUGUUGAAAAAUUAGCGGAUGACUUGUGGAUGGGGGUGAAAGGCCAAUCAAACCGGGAGAUAGCUGGUUCUCCCCGAAAGCUAUUUAGGUAGCGCCUCGUGAACUCAUCUUCGGGGGUAGAGCACUGUUUCGACUAGGGGGUCAUCCCGACUUACCAACUCGAUGCAAACUGCGAAUACCGAAGAAUGUUAUCACGGGAGACACACGGCGGGUGCUAACGUCCGUCGUGAAGAGGGAAACAACCCAGACCGCCAGCUAAGGUCCCAAAGUCAUGGUUAAGUGGGAAACGAAGUGGGAAGGCUCAGACAGCCAGGAUGUUGGCUUAGAAGCAGCCAUCAUUUAAAGAAAGCGUAAUAGCUCACUGGUCGAGUCGGCCCGCGCGGAAGAUGUAACGGGGCUAAACCAUGCACCGAAGCUGCGGCAGCGACACAAAGUGUUGUUGGGUAGGGGAGCGUUCUGUAAGCCUGCGAAGGUGUACUGUGAGGUAUGCUGGAGGUAUCAGAAGUGCGAAUGCUGACAUAAGUAACGAUAAUGCGGGUGAAAAACCCGCACGCCGGAAGACCAAGGGUUCCUGUCCAACGUUAAUCGGGGCAGGGUGAGUCGACCCCUAAGGCGAGGCUGAAAAGCGUAGUCGAUGGGAAACGGGUUAAUAUUCCCGUACUGGUGGUAACUGCGAUGGGGGAACGGAGAAGGCUAGGUUGUCCGGGCGACGGUCGUCCCGGUUCAAGCAGGUAGGCAGAGUGAUUAGGCAAAUCCGGUCACUUAAUGCUGAGAUGUGAUGACGAACCACCAAGGUGGUGAAGCAAUUGAUGCCCCGCUUCCAGGAAAAGCCUCUAAGCUUCAGGUUACCAACAAUCGUACCCCAAACCGACACAGGUGGUCAGGUAGAGAAUACUCAGGCGCUUGAGAGAACUCGGGUGAAGGAACUAGGCAAAAUGGUGCCGUAACUUCGGGAGAAGGCACGCUGGCGGUAGGUAAAGUCCCUCGCGGACGGCGCUGAAGCCAGUCGAAGAUACCAGCUGGCUGCAACUGUUUAUUAAAAACACAGCACUGUGCAAACACGAAAGUGGACGUAUACGGUGUGACGCCUGCCCGGUGCUGGAAGGUUAAUUGAUGGGGUUAGCCGUAAGGCGAAGCUCCUGAUCGAAGCCCCAGUAAACGGCGGCCGUAACUAUAACGGUCCUAAGGUAGCGAAAUUCCUUGUCGGGUAAGUUCCGACCUGCACGAAUGGCGUAAUGAUGGCCAGGCUGUCUCCACCCGAGACUCAGUGAAAUUGAACUCGCUGUGAAGAUGCAGUGUACCCGCGGCAAGACGGAAAGACCCCGUGAACCUUUACUAUAGCUUGACACUGAACAUUGAGCCUUGAUGUGUAGGAUAGGUGGGAGGCUUUGAAGUGUGGACGCCAGUCUGCAUGGAGCCAACCUUGAAAUACCACCCUUUAACGUUUGAUGUUCUAACCUAGGCCCAUAAACUGGGUCGGGGACCGUGUCUGGUGGGUAGUUUGACUGGGGCGGUCUCCUCCUAAAGAGUAACGGAGGAGCACGAAGGUUGGCUAAGCAUGGUCGGACAUCAUGCGGUUAGUGCAAAGGCAUAAGCCAGCUUGACUGCGAGAGUGACGGCUCGAGCAGGUACGAAAGUAGGUCUUAGUGAUCCGGUGGUUCUGAAUGGAAGGGCCAUCGCUCAACGGAUAAAAGGUACUCCGGGGAUAACAGGCUGAUACCGCCCAAGAGUUCAUAUCGACGGCGGUGUUUGGCACCUCGAUGUCGGCUCAUCACAUCCUGGGGCUGAAGUAGGUCCCAAGGGUAUGGCUGUUCGCCAUUUAAAGUGGUACGCGAGCUGGGUUUAGAACGUCGUGAGACAGUUCGGUCCCUAUCUGCCGUGGGCGUUGGAAGAUUGAGAGGGGUUGCUCCUAGUACGAGAGGACCGGAGUGAACGCACCACUGGUGUUCGGGUUGUCAUGCCAAUGGCAUUGCCCGGUAGCUAAGUACGGAAGAGAUAACCGCUGAAAGCAUCUAAGCGGGAAACUUGCCUCGAGAUGAGUCUUCCCUGUCGCUUUAAGCGACCUAAAGGAACGUUUAAGACUAAGACGUUGAUAGGCUGGGUGUGUAAGCGUAGCGAUACGUUGAGCUAACCAGUACUAAUGAACCGUGAGGCUUAACCUGACAACACCGAAAGUGUUUUG